Molecule: unclassified non-coding RNA, 288 nt
Filed under: uncultured fungus
Lineage: Eukaryota; Fungi
Description: partial contains 5.8S rRNA, ITS2 and 28S rRNA
Rfam family: Eukaryotic large subunit ribosomal RNA
Source: RNAcentral
AAGGAGUCUAACACGUAUGCAAGUAGUAAGGUGGCAAACCUUGGAUGCGGAAUGAAAGUGAACGUAGGUGGGAGCUUCGGCGCACCAUCGACCGAUCCUGAUGUCCUCGGAUGGAUUUGAGUAAGAGCAUAGCUGUUGGGACCCGAAAGAUGGUGAACUAUGCCUGAAUAGGGUGAAGCCAGAGGAAACUCUGGUGGAGGCUCGCAGCGGUUCUGACGUGCAAAUCGAUCGUCAAAUUUGGGUAUAGGGGCGAAAGACUAAUCGAACCAUCUAGUAGCUGGUUCCUGC